UGCGUAGGCGGCCAAUUAAGUAGGGUGUGAAAGCUCUCGGCUCAACCGAGGAGUUGCGCUCUAAACUGGUUGGCUUGAGUGAGAUAGGGGUGUGUGGAACUUCCGGUGGAGCGGUGAAAUGUGUUGAUAUCGGAAGGAACACCGGUAGCGAAAGCGGCACACUGGGUCUCAACUGACGCUGAGGCACGAAAGCUAGGGGAGCGAAC
Molecule: ribosomal RNA, 206 nt
Filed under: uncultured bacterium
Lineage: Bacteria
Description: partial 16S ribosomal RNA
Rfam family: Bacterial small subunit ribosomal RNA
Source: RNAcentral